CCUACGGGAGGCAGCAGUGGGGAAUAUUGGACAAUGGGCGCAAGCCUGAUCCAGCAAUACCGCGUGGGUGAUGAAGGUCUUCGGAUUGUAAAGCCCUUUUAGUAGAGAAGAUAAUGACGGUAUCUACAGAAAAAGCACCGGCAAACUUCGUGCCAGCAGCCGCGGUAAUACGAAGGGUGCUAGCGUUGUUCGGAAUCACUGGGCGUAAAGGGUACGUAGGCGGUUUGGUAAGUCGAUUGUGAAAGCCCCAGGCUCAACCUGGGAACUGCAAUCGAAACUACUUUACUUGAGUUUGGUAGGGGAUGGUGGAAUUCCUAGUGUAGGGGUGAAAUCCGUAGAGAUUAGGAAGAACACCAGUGGCGAAGGCGACCAUCUAUGCCAAUACUGACGCUGAGGUACGAAAGCGUGGGGAGCAAACAGGAUUAGAUACCCUGGUAGUCCACGCCCUAAACGAUGAAUGCUAGUUGUCGGGGCCUUAGGCUUCGGCGGCGAAGUUAACACGAUAAGCAUUCCGCCUGGGGGAGGUACGGUCGCGAGACAAACUACAAGAAGUAGACGACGNGAGAGNGCGAACGGACGACACGAGGGAGUUAGG
This 595-nucleotide ribosomal RNA is filed under the name uncultured bacterium. RNAcentral describes it as "bacterial SSU rRNA". It matches the Rfam family "Bacterial small subunit ribosomal RNA", at positions 338 to 950 of the family's 1533-position model. The record is from RNAcentral.